Molecule: long non-coding RNA, 3330 nt
Organism: Papaver somniferum (opium poppy)
Lineage: Eukaryota; Viridiplantae; Streptophyta; Magnoliopsida; Ranunculales; Papaveraceae
Exons: 2
Source: RefSeq, a predicted model, not a curated record
CUAAAUUGAUUAAAAUGAUGUAAACUAUUUAUAUUUUACAAAGUAAAUUUAUCAGACUUACACCAGUUACGGUAAAAGUUUAAAAACUAAGUAAUCUUAAUAAAUUAAUGCUUAUUUAUUCCAGCACUGGGGAAUAGUGAGGUUGGUUAUUCUUGUGUGUUUCUGUGAUACUUGUUACGUAGGUAGGCAUUGUCAGGCGACGCGAACUUAGACAUGGCAACUGCAUUCUCGUAUCACUAGGCAUAGAAGGAAAGAUUGCUUCUGAUAGUGAACUUAUAGAUCCAGAAUUUUAUUUUGAAGCUUAUACAAUAUUUUCCCUUGUAAUUAGAACCAGUAACUUACUAAAAUAGAAGUUAGUGUAGAGAAUUUAAAUUUAAAAGUCAUAGUUUCCAUUAUAGAGCUUCAUGUAAGAAAUUUAGACUUUCUUCUUGGAUAGAACUUAAAUCAGUAUAGUUGAACCUAGAGCCACAAAUUUUAGUAGUAGAAGCCACAUAGGUUUGUGUUUUGUAUCUUGUUGUUUGCGCUUAGAUGGGAGAUAAGAUCAUCUCUAUAAGGUGGGGAGUUUUUGAAGACCAAAAGGAUGGUUUAUUUUAAAGGACAAAAAUGAAUAAGGUCGGGAGAAUGUAAAAACCCUUUAGCUCGUCAACGCUAUUAGACUAGUCAAGUGACGUAUUAGCCGAUAAUGACUCAACUAGUUUAACACGAACGCUAAUUAACAGGAAUUAAUCUAACAACGAUCUAGAUACGAAACUAGUAUCGUUGAAUAGGUCUCGAAAAGUUACGCGAAAUGGGCUACUCGAACGUGUCAUUCGGAUACCGGAUGAAGAAGAUUUUAUCAGAUUAGUAAGAAUGGCAAAAUACCCAUUUUGGAGCUUAACCGACCUGGCUUCCCUUAACGUUUGGAAGGGUGCAUUUAUCAUGGGUUGUUGGCGUUAUCACCAAGACGUGUCAAGAGAAUACUUUAAAUUUCUCUUUUCUUCUUCUUUCCUCUUCUUCUCUUCUUCUUCUCUUUUUCUUCUCGUUUCUUCUUUCUUUUCUUCUACUGCUUUGAGAGUCGACCGUGAGGUUCGGUUUGAGAGAUCAAAACAGAAGAUUUUUGAUCAGUAGAAGGUAUAGAAGAUCAUGGAAUAGUUUAUGGUGAUGUUAUGAUUGUUUGUGGUUGAUUCAAGCUCAAAAGAAGAGGUGAAGUAGAGAAAGAAUAUUAGGUUUUUCUGAAAUGAGUUCGAUUGAGGAUUUAUAUGAUAUUAAAGAUGAGAUCAAGUAAAUUAAGAUGGGUUUAUGUCUAAUUGAGUUAUGAAGUUGAUUCAGUGAAGAUCGAGGUGUUAGGGUUUCUGCAUGUGGUGUUGGAAUUUGAUUUGAGUAAGAAUUAAGAAGAUAUAGACGGAAUUACAAGAUGGUUUGCUUAAUUGAAGAGUUGAUGGGUGUUUUGAGUUUGAAUUAAAGAUUGAAGGCAGUUAGGGUUCAUGUGUUCUUCCCCAAAGUGGAAAUAGGGUUUCAAUAGAAUUGAAUUGGGGAAAAAGUAAUUACGUGGGUGCUGGUUCUUGGGUAAGAUUCUAAUUUCAUUUAAUAUUGGAAUUUUAGUUUAAAUUGCUUAUAUUAUUGAAUUGAUGUAUUGUAAAUGGUACUAUUUUGAGUUAUGAGUUGUUAUUGAAGAUACGGUGAAAUUGGGAUUGUUUGGGAAACUUGGUGUUAAGAGAAGGGUAUGGAUUGGAACUGUGUUUUGUAUUGAAUUACAGGGAGGUAGGUUGAAUGUUGUAAUGCAGUGGCUGGUGGAGUAUGGAGUUAGAGUUGAAUUGCUAGAGGUUUAGGAACUAAGGAAAUUGGUGAAGAUGCUUGAAAGGAUGAUCUGUGCAGUGAGAUAGAAAUACCUUUUGGAGUGUAAUCUGUGUUGAUAGUGGUUGGGUGAGUUACAGAGAUAUGGGUGAUGAAAUUGAACUGUGGUUGUAGUUUAGUAGGUAUUAGAGAUGGUAUGAGUAUUUUUCUGAGAAGAUGUACAUGGUGGUGGCUUGCUGAGGUAAACUAAUUGAACUGAAGUGAUGAGUCUAGAUGAUUGAUUUUUGGGUAUAACGAUUACAUAGAGUGGAUACUUUUUGUUUGGAAUUACAAUUAUAGGUGAUGUUGUUUGUGUUGGCUCUGAACCGUGGAUAACAUGUGGUGGCAGUUAGCUGUGUGGGUAGUUUGAAGAUGAUUGUAAGUGUGAAGGUUUAGAGUUGCAGUCACAACUUAAGAGUUGUUGGUGGUUUAGAAUUAGUGUUCUGUGACCAGAGAAUAAUGAAGAUGGGUGUUGUGGAGUAGAGAAGAUAGGGUUGUGGUCGUUUAGGAUUUACUAUGGUUAAGAUUAUAAUUUGGAGUUGUGUUUAUUUACAGGGAGGAGAGCUGUAUCACAUAGAAAUGUUGGAGUUAGUAAUGGUAACUGGAUAUGGUGUUGUUUGUGAAUACGAAGUAAAAUGGGUUUGAAUAGAGCUGAAAUAGGUACACUAUUGGUGGUAGUGAGUGUGGUCUCAACUGAAGUGCAGAUGGAGUCAUACUGUUUUGGUAUUGCUGAAAUUGGAGAUACAACUGUAAGUAGGGGAUAUGGUGGUUGUAUUGUAUGAACUGGUGGUGUUGAGAUGAUUAAAUCUAUAACUGAUAUUUGUUGGUGGUAAUGGAUGUGUAGUGUGGUUUGAAAUGGAUUUGAACCUCUCUUGUAAAAGCUUGCAACUUUUGUAAUUGCAGGUAGGCUGUGUUGUCUUUUUAAAUCAAUUUUGUAUUAUAGUUUGAAUGAAUGAGUUGAUUUUGAAUUAGAGUUGAAGUUUGUCUGUAAUAUGAGUAUAUACCUGAUAGUCAUCCCAGUCAGCUGACUCAGUUAAUCUGACUGAGUCACAUGUGUACCUGACCUACCUUAAUCAGUCUUAGUAGCUGAGUUAACUCUGUCUUGAAUCGGUUUGACCCAAUACUGACUCAGUGAACCUUGACUGAGUUAGUUCCUUUGACUUUUGACCUGACUUUACACGUUCACCGUCAGUCUGACCAGUGAGCUAUUUUCGCUAGAUUCUUAGACUUCUUGUGUGAUUAACAGUUAGUCUAUAUUAACAAUGAUCGAUGCAAAGGAUGAACCAGUGGAUCGUGGAUCUCGGGGUAGGCGUGGCUUGUCAUCAAAAGAGUUUCAGAGACAGAUCAGAGUUGCGCAGCAAAAGCUUCAAGGGCCGAGUUCUUUAGUUGUUUAACUUCUGAUAUGUUUAUUAUGUUGCAUAUUAUAUUUGUAAACCAAACGACUAUUGUAUAUGUAUCAUUUGAGAGAAGUUCUUGUAUAUAUAUAUAUAUUUCUGAACUGGGUUAGUUUUGGGUUAA